AUUAGAGUCGACACAGAAGAUGUUCCUUGAAUGGAGGGCUCACUGCUCUCAGAUGGCCCACACCUGCAAACACAGCUUCAGAGAAGAGCUAAGUGAAAAUUAAGGCAACCCAGGAAGUGAAGAUCAUUUGCCUACGAGAUUUAUGAGGGAUGCCACUCUCUGUGACCCCAAGUACAUAAAGCUGUGAAAGAAUCCUGUGGACUUUUGGGAGAUAAGAGAUUGAAAAUCUACUCUCUUCCUUCUGGGCUUCACUGUGAGCUAUUGUUUCACAGUUAACUAGGAUAGCCCUAACCAAGAUUAUUGAUAAUGGAAAGAGAGACACUCUUCAGGAGAACAUGGGGAUACAUUGGCUAGAUCACCUGAAACAGCUUAAGAAUGCAGAGUUCCUGGAGGAGGGCAGUUUUGACCCAACAUGAGGCUAAUGUGGUCAUUUCUUUGGUAAUAAGCCAACCUGGUGCAGUUGGGCUUGGAGAGAAGUAAGUUGAAAUGUCACAGAACAUCGAAAUCGUAAUUUGGAAGCCCCAGCAUGCAGCAGCCUUUGAUAAGAUUAGCUUUUAGGGACAGGUGUCAUCUUACCUUGCAAGCUUGUUCAGAGAUUGGUACCAAUAAGAGCCUUUCUCCAGCAGUGGAAAAAAUCGUACCAUGCAGCUAUGAGAAACAAAGUGUAAUGAACUGACCAUACUCUUUGGCAUUUGGAACUUUGACCAACUUCCUUUGGACUAAAUCCCCAGGUUCCUUAGAAGAUUAGUGGAGGCUCAAAACGUGGACUCCCCACUAAUAAGGCUCAUAAGACUUGGAAAAAUUAACCAGAAAAAAAUAAAAGAAAUGGAUCUUUGGAAAAAGUCAUAGCCAUUAGCAAUCUUACGUCAUACACAAAUAUCCAUAGAACGUCUUUCUAUUGCCUCUAGGCACAUCAAACUCAACUACAACAUGGAAUUCAACAUCUAUCCCAAUAACCAACAACUUACUGUUUCUCUCCCAUCCCUUAUCUCUAUUUCCCCCCGUGUUAUCCUUCCAGGCACUAGAAACAGAAAGCUUAGUGUCAUUUUAAAUGUUUCUGUCUAUUUUAUAUCUCAUUAAUCAGUCAUGAUUUCUAGUCUUUUUUUAAUAUAUAUUUUUUUGAUAGAGAUGAUGUCUCACCAUCUUGCCCAAGCUUGUCUCCUGGCUUCAAGCAAUCCUCCCACCUCAGUCUCCCAAAUCACACUGGGAUUACAGAUGUGAGCCACUGCACCCGGCCUUGUCUAGCUGUUUUUAAUAUCAAAUGUACCUCAGAUUCAUUGUGUCUGUUGCAUCUCUGUGACUACUGUCACAGAACAGUCCUCAUGAGGCUUUAGUCAGACCAUUGCAAUAAUUUCCUAAGGGGAUUCCAUAUGUCCAGCCCAGCAAACUUCAUUCCAUUUUCUAUUUUGUUACAGACAUAUACAUGUAUGUAUGGGUGUAUGUAUGGCUUAACUAGCAUUUCUUCCAGAUUGAAGUCCAAAACCCUUAUAAGCAUACACAAGGCCUUCAGUAAGAUGAAUUUUGCCUUCCUCUACCACUAGACUGAGAUUCUUGCAGGAAGGACUAAAUGCAUUAAUUUUUUUAAAAAGUCCCAGAACCUACUAUGGUGUUUUGUAUAUCACAAAUCCUCAUAUAGUUACUAAAAUUGAAUGGAAUUAAAGGAAAGCUGAAACUUUAUAGUUUUCAAGUCUGUUGUGUAAUAAUUGUCUUUGGUGCCAUUUCUGGCCUGUGAUGUAGUUUUAGUUACCCUGGAGAAAUUCUCCUCAUGCCUCCUCUCUCUCUGUUGGUGAAGAUUA
RNAcentral lists this long non-coding RNA (1796 nucleotides) under Homo sapiens (human). Its description in RNAcentral is "HSALNT0231972". The record is from RNAcentral. Lineage: Eukaryota; Metazoa; Chordata; Mammalia; Primates; Hominidae.